GAAGGGCUCAACUACAACGGGGACUUUACCUCCCAAAUACAAACAGUUAACCCAAUUGUUUGAAUGCUCAUAUCAAUCUGAAAUUUAAAAAAUAAAUAAAAAAAUUACUGGAUUGGUUUGUAAUGAGGAUAGCAAAACCUCCAAUUUGUACUCAUUGUCUAAGACCCGGAUGAAGCUACAUCUCCAACUACCUGGACCUACAGAGGAUUCCCCCUCCAGUGUGGACAACUGUAGAGUCUCUUGUGCCCAGUCCGGGCUGGCUGUGCGCUGUUUGCUUUAACUGCGGUUUCACUUGAACACUUUCGAGCUGCCAUUUACCAGGGUGGUGCACAAUUUGGUGAUGCGGUGAGAGUAAACCGAGUAAUAGCCACUGGAUGGAUUGACUUGUGGCUGUCAGUUGGACUCGGCUGAUCAAGCAGCAACUGCACCCAUGUGGACACUAAUUCCUGGAUUGCAUUCUGACAAGAAGAGAAGAAUGUGGGAAGACAAGAGGCAUCAGGUUUUGGCUGCCUACCACGUGGGUGCAGACACUUCUGGAUCAGCAAAAUUAAACUGAUAGUGGAAGUUUUGAAGGGCCCCCACUUCUAAGGCAGGUGCAAGGUCUGGUGUUAGAUUUCAUGAGUGUGAGACAUGGUUUGUGCUUUCAAGAAACUUAUACUGGGGACAGAACCAAAAUGGCAGCAUUUCAGUUGUAAGGAAAUGUUGAUACUACAGCCUCACUGAUCCACAAAAGAAAAAAGAGAUCGUUUCUGAACAGCUAAGUAGAGAUUCCGACAUUCAUACACCACAGUUCCAAAUGGCUAUUUGGGUCAGUUAACCAUUUGUUCCAGGGGAAAAGGACCUAUGUGGUGAGAUCUGAAGAACCGUGAAGCCACUGCUUCAUGUUGCUCUCUCCAUGUUGUCACCUGAGGUCCCAUACCUUUGGAAUUCAUGGACACCAGGGCAGUCCUUUCUAAAAUGCCUUCAUGUCCAGGGAGGUUAGAUGUGGUCUGGGGAGAAAACAAAGUGUUGAGAUUGAGAGAAUUAGUUGGAAAUAAGGAGAGACUGUCAGGUUUUGUGGUGUUAGUUUAAUAAGAUGGUGAUUUUUAACUCUAUCUGAAUUUGCCAAUAAAUUAAGAAUUGGAAGAUUUGGUGUGGGUUGUAUAAAGAGGUGGUGCAUGGAUCCCAGAGGCUGUGUACUCAUGGGGAACAUGAAGCGCCUAUGUGAUGAGUCCUGGUUGGAAGUCUGAGACAGGUGAUUAAGGGAGGCAGAGGACAGUGGAAUGGGAGGGAGGAAUUAUUGAGAGGGAGAUGAAUGCCACCGAUGGAUUUUUUUAAAAACUUUUCAACUUAGCCUAAGGCAACGAGUCUGUUCAGGACACUCUCACAUUCUUUAUGACCACUUCAACCUUCUCUAUCUCCCACAGAUGUCCACCUCCAAGCCUUUCAUUCUUAGCAACUCCUACUUUACAGAGAAAAUAUAGGUCACCUGGUGGGCACCUCUGUCUUCCUGAUACAAAAUGAACAGAUCCCACCAUCUCCUCCUUCAUCAGUUUCACUGAUUAAGCUGCUCCUUACAUGUGCCUUGGAUCUUAUUUCUUCAGCAGUCUCAAAAAUUCAUCAACUCUCUCGCAUAUUUAAUAUCUGCCUCUCAGGGGAACCCUUCUCACUGGCUUCUGAAUACUCACAAGCAAAGCUUUCUAUGGAUCCCCAAUACUCUUCAGCACUCGCCCUUUGAAUCCAGAUUCCUUAGAGAAGUUAUCUAUACUGGAGUUUUUAAUUCUUCACCUCCCAGUGACUUCUCUAGCCACUCCAGUCUGAUUUUUGUUCUCAUCAUUUUACAAAAACAGCUCUAUCGAGGAUGUUAGUAUCCUCCAUGCAAGAGAUAGUUUUUUGAUUUCCUCUAUUAUCUUGCUCAGUAAUAAUUGACGUUCCUGACCUGUUGUGGUUUAAACACUCUUUUCCAGUGUGUUCCUGGGCAUAACACUGCCUUGGUUUCCCCCUCUUUUCUGGUCCCCUGUUCUUUGAUCUUUCUUGACACUCCAGCCUGGGCCUCUUCUUUUCUCUCUUUGCUCUCUCCCCAGGAGACUUGACCCUGCCUUGGUUGAAAGGCUCGUGAAGAAUUCCAAGUUUAGACCUCACCCCUGACCUCUAGGUCCACAAGUCUCUAAGACCUGUUUGACAUCUUUUCUGAAAUGUCUCAAAGAUGCCUUACAUUCCACGUCUCCAAGUCAGACUGUCUGUCUUCUCACAUGGCUCUGGUCUUUGCCCGAAGCUUCUUAGACAUCAUUGAAUUGGACAAGACAGAAAGCUAGAAAUCCCUUUGACACCU
Molecule: long non-coding RNA, 2311 nt
Organism: Otolemur garnettii (small-eared galago)
Lineage: Eukaryota; Metazoa; Chordata; Mammalia; Primates; Galagidae
Exons: 3
Source: RefSeq, a predicted model, not a curated record